UGGGGAAUAUUGUACAAUGGGGGAAACCCUGAUGCAGCGACGCCGCGUGAGCGAAGAAGGUUUUCGAAUCGUAAAGCUCUGUCCUAUGGGAAGAUAAUGACGGUACCAUAGGAGGAAGCCCCGGCUAACUACGUGCCAGCAGCCGCGGUAAUACGUAGGGGGCAAGCGUUGUCCGGAAUCACUGGGCGUAAAGGGUUCGCAGGCGGAAAUGCAAGUCAGUUGUGAAAGGCAGAGGCUCAACCUCUGUAAGCAAUUGAAACUGUAUUUCUUGAGAUGUGGAGAAGCAAGUGGAAUUCCUAGUGUAGCGGUGAAAUGCGUAGAUAUUAGGAAGAAUACCGGUGGCGAAGGCGACUUGCUGGACACAAACUGACGCUGAGGAACAAAAGCGUGGGUAGCAAACAGG
This 403-nucleotide ribosomal RNA is filed under the name Fusobacteriota bacterium. RNAcentral's name for it is "Fusobacteria bacterium partial 16S ribosomal RNA". It matches the Rfam family "Bacterial small subunit ribosomal RNA", at positions 355 to 776 of the family's 1533-position model. The record is from RNAcentral. Lineage: Bacteria; Fusobacteriati; Fusobacteriota.